This 250-nucleotide ribosomal RNA is filed under the name uncultured bacterium. RNAcentral's name for it is "partial 16S ribosomal RNA". It matches the Rfam family "Bacterial small subunit ribosomal RNA", at positions 524 to 773 of the family's 1533-position model. The record is from RNAcentral.
GACAGAGGUGGCUAGCGUUGUUCGGAUUUAUUGGGCGUAAAGCGCACGCAGGCGGUUUGGUAAGUCAGAGGUGAAAUUCCGCAGCUUAACUGCGGAACUGCCUUUGAUACUGCCUUUCUCGAGUGCAUGAGGGGGAAGCGGAAUUCCGGGUGUAGAGGUGAAAUUCGUAGAUAUCCGGAGGAACACCGGUGGCGAAGGCGGCUUCCUGGCAUGUAACUGACGCUCAGGUGCGAAAGCGUGGGUAGCAAAC